CUGAGAUUUAGUUUCCAGACAGGGAGAGCAUUGCACUCCGAGGAUUUGUGGAGACAGAAUCACCCAUUUCAGUCUGAGGCAGAGAAGCUUCUCAGUUUCAGGAGGUCCCAUUUAUUGUCUAUCUCAGUGUCUGUGCUCCUGGAUGCCCCUCAACUGAAGAAUGGAUAGAGAAAAUGUGUUACAUUUACACAAUGGAGUACUACCUCAGCGGAAAAAAACAAAACAAAAAAACAAUGGAAUCUUGAAAUUCGUAGGCAAAUGGAAGGAACUAGAAGAAACCAUCCUGAGUGAGGUAACCCAGUCACAAAAAAGACAAACAUGAUGGGGCUCCAGGAUGACAAAGGGUUAUCUCUGUCCUCAAGAGGCUAGUGGUCUUAACCCAGCUUCUGGAUGAUGUGUGCAUACGACAGCAGCUUCACCGAGGGAGAGCAGAGGAGCAGUUGCAGGAGAAAGAUGCAGAUCUGGAAUGCCAGCCUCCACAAAUGCAUUUUUUAUACACAGAUGUGCAUUCCUCUGUAGUUUCAGACAUUGCAAUAUGCAUUCAAGGGCUAUCUGGGCCAUUUUUAAUGAUUUUUAUAUGCUAUGAUGAACCUCCUUCAAACCUAACCCAAAGCAUAAUAAAUACCAUCCACCUGCUGCUUUAUGCUUCAAGAACUCUUCCUAGUCACUUCUCAAGGUGGGAUGGUCACUGAUACUUUAGAGAGAGGCUGGAGCCCUAGAAAGAGACUUCUCUCUAAGUCACUGGGAAUAAGUGGCAGAGUACUUUCUUCCCCUGACCCCUGUAUGUGCUCUGUGGGAGAACAAGCUGGAACUGUGCCAGGAUCCAAGGGCUGCUCUCCCAAGCUUACUAGCUCAGUGACUCCCUCUUCUAACAAGGGCCCUCUUCUCCUGUUCUCUGGAAGCACUGAUUUAAAGGGCUAGAAGCCCUUUACUUUGGAUGGCACCAGGACAGUUUGCACUGUUACACAGGUGUACUUCUACAGGGUGGAAUCUGAAGGAGUCCUUACACACAGGUCCUUCAAGUCUUCACUCUUCAAAGGCAAUGGGACUUGAACCCAGGAGCCUGCAUUCUACCAGUGAGCUAUGUCCCCAGGCCAAAGAGUUUUCUCAUAGAUGCUCAGCAGCUCCUCUCUUCUACUAUUCCCUCCAUGGCAUGAAUCAGUGUCCUGAUGACAUGCUUCUAAAUUUAGUCAGCAACUCCAGCCACUGCCCUGAAAGACAUUAUAGAAGGAAAUUUGGAGCUAAGAAUACCUUCUGGUCACCUCUGUUCUCUUCUCCAUCUCAGC
RNAcentral lists this long non-coding RNA (1286 nucleotides) under Cricetulus griseus (Chinese hamster). RNAcentral describes it as "lncRNA (ENSCGRG00015034635.1)". The record is from RNAcentral. Lineage: Eukaryota; Metazoa; Chordata; Mammalia; Rodentia; Cricetidae.